AUGCACAAGCUACUGCAACUACGCCAAACAGGCAGCAUCGCCGAGUACUGCGCCGCGUUCGACGAAAAGAUGUACCACCUGCUCGCGCUUGAUCCGUCGAUCAACACCAAAUUCUUCGUGACGCAGUUCCUCCUCGGCCUAAAGGACGAGCUGCGCGCCCCGGUGCGCCUCCAGGCACCCUCCAGCAUCACGCGUGCCUCGGUGCUCACACGCAUCCAGGAGGAAGAAUUGGGCACGACACGCGUGCGCCCUCGCAUCACUCCGGCGGGUCGACCACCCCCAACAGCAGCAGCAGUGGCAACACCACAGCGCGCCGCGGCCGCGCCGAUCCGCGCCCAAGGAGAUGAGUACGCGCGGGAGCGGCAGCUGCGCGAUUUCCGUCGGGCGAACAACCUUUGCUUCAAGUGCGGGGAUCGCUACUCCAGAGAGCAUCGAUGCGCCCAACCCGCGCAGCUGCUCACUAUCAACGUGGGUGACCACGGUGAGGUGCUCUCGGACGACACCAUCCACGCCCUGCAGUUGCUCGACGACCCGGGCCCAGCGGCGCAACCCCCUGCUCAGGCCGUGGACGUGCCAGAGUGCUACCUCCUCUCGUCGCAGGCGCUCGACGGCACAGAUUCGGCGACCACGAUCAGGUUGCGCGCGCUGGUGGGGAACCAGGUCAUGCUCCUACUGCUCGACUCGGGUAGUACCCACAGCUUCGUCAACAAGGCGUUUGCCGAUCGCCUCGGCCUCGCCACGGAAGAGAUGCCGCCGACAGAGGUGCGCGUAGCCAACGGCGACAAACUGACCUGCAACCGCAUGGUGCUCGGCCUCAAGUGGUGGAUGCAGGGCCACACCUUCGCGACGCCCAUGCGCGAGCUAGGGAUCGGAGCGUACGAUGGUAUUCUGGGGAUGGACUGGCUCGCCCAGCACAGUCCAAUGACGUGCCAUUGGCAGGACAAGUGGGUGAAGUUCCAGCACGACGGCGAAGAAGUCACACUGCGCAGCGUCCCAACCAAGCCGACCACCACGCUCAAGGCAGUCGGACCCGACGAGCUGCGCAAGAUGAUCGCCGGGAACGAUGUCUGGGCCAUGGCCAUGGUGGACACCUGCGGCCCCGCAUCGCGCCCAGUUCGCAAAUGCCCAAGUCAAACUCCGCUCGCCGACCUGCUCGAGGAAUUCGUCGACGUGUUCACGGCACCGCAAGGGCUCCCUCCUCACCGCCAGUACGACCACGCCGUCACGCUGGUGGAGGGCGCGGUCCCAGCGAACACGCGCCCAUACCGCUACUCGCCGCUCCAGAAGGACGAGAUCGAGCGACAUGUCAAGGAGAUGCUGGACUCCGGAGUGAUCACGCACAGCGUCAGUCCCUACGCCGCGCCGGUGUUGCUCGUGAAGAAGAAGGACGACACCUGGAGAUUCUGCGUCGACUACCGCCGCCUCAACGACGCCACCGUCAAGAACAGGUUUCCCCUGCCCAUCAUCGACGAGCUGCUCGACGAACUGGCCGGCGCCGCAGUGUUCUCCAAACUAGACUUGCGGGCAGGAUACCAUCAGAUCAGGAUGCGUGAGGAGGACGAAUCCAAGACGGCGUUCAAGACACAUCAUGGGCAUUUCCAGUUCAGGGUCAUGCCGUUCGGCCUCACGAACGCGCCCGCCACUUUUUAG
RNAcentral lists this ribosomal RNA (1650 nucleotides) under Triticum aestivum (bread wheat). Its description in RNAcentral is "partial small subunit ribosomal RNA". The record is from RNAcentral. Lineage: Eukaryota; Viridiplantae; Streptophyta; Magnoliopsida; Poales; Poaceae.